RNAcentral lists this ribosomal RNA (254 nucleotides) under uncultured bacterium. RNAcentral's name for it is "partial 16S ribosomal RNA". It matches the Rfam family "Bacterial small subunit ribosomal RNA", at positions 524 to 776 of the family's 1533-position model. The record is from RNAcentral.
UACGUAGGGUGCGAGCGUUGUCCGGAAUUAUUGGGCGUAAAGAGCUCGUAGGCGGUGUGUCACGUCGGCCGUGAAAACCUGCAGCUUAACUGUGGGCGUGCGGUCGAUACGGGCAUCACUGGAGUUCGGCAGGGGAGACUGGAAUUCCUGGUGUAGCGGUGAAAUGCGCAGAUAUCAGGAGGAACACCGGUGGCGAAGGCGGGUCUCUGGGCCGGUACUGACGCUGAGGAGCGAAAGCGUGGGGAGCGAACAGG